CCCGCAUCAGCGAAGUCCACAGCCUGCUCCAAUCAAGUUGCCUUCCAAAUGCUGUAAAGUGGAGGCGCCCGAGCACCAGGACCCAGGGGAUGGAUUGGUUACACGCCAGAUCCCCCGAGGCAGCAACCAGCCUGCAUAUGUGUUUACAUAACUGUUUGCAAGUAAAAAGAGGAGGCUGGGAACCAGGCAGCUGGGAAGGAAGUCUGGCCGGGACAGCGCUGCCCCUUCUUGGAGUCAUCUUGAAAUAAAAGAGAUGCCUGCAGUGGUCAUUUGGGCAGAUCACACCAAUGUAUUUGGAGGUUUGGGCACAUGAUAUGAAUCCAGGUGCCCCAAGCAGGAUGUGGGCCGUCACUGGCAGGAAGUAGGGUUCCCCCCUGCUAACCCCUUAGGAUGGGGCCGGGAGGUCAAGGCCACUGCAGGACCACAGGCAAGAAGCAGCCUUGGAAGGGCCUGCUGUCCACAGAGCCCAACUGCUGCGUUAGGGCGGCCAGCGCUGCCUGGCCGCUCCCCGCUCACUGAGAAGCACAUCGGAAACCUGGCCUGAAGUCUCUCUUUCUUGUCCCAAGUUGAAAGGAGAGACGGCAACCUUCGGGGCCUGAGAGGCCCAGGGGACUCUGCACUGCCUGCCUUCUCCAUGUGGUGUGGAGUCGCAAUAGGGCAAGUCCUGGCUUGGGGUCCCCUAGAUGGUCACACCCUCGGGGCCCCUUUGUCUGACGCCAUCCCACCAGCUGUGAAGAAACUCUGAUUUGCUAAAGUAUCUGGAGGAGGAAACAGAAACACAUAGCAAGUGGCGGCGGACCCUCCAGGCAUCACUUGGGGACUGCGAAGGAACAGCUUCCCUCCUCUCGCACAUAAGAGUGCAUGACCUCUUACUUUCCAGCUUCUCAUAUUUGUGUCCAUGCCAAGGAAGCUCAUUUUCCCAUGGUUCAUCAUACUCCUAGUGGUUUCCUAGACUUUCAGAGAAGGAUUUCGGGAAAAGGUGGUCUUUUACAGACAAGCAGUUAGGUGGGUGGGACACAGGGGCAAAGGCAUCACGAGCAAAAGGGUAGCCAGUGCCCCACCAGGAGAUUCAGGGGCCCGAGGGAUGCCCUGAGGUCCAUCCACAAGCAAGGAGCCAUGAGGCUGGGCAGGGGCACAGACUGGAGCUCAGAGGAGUGUCAGCUGAGGAGCUGGGAAGCUUUUCUCAAAGCAAGCAAAAAGCAACUAAGAACUUUCCCCCACAACAGACAUGAAGUUAGACUUGCCCUUUAGAAAGCUCACUGUGGCCACAGGGUGAGAAAUGGAUUGGAGAGGGGUGAGACAGUGCAGGCGAGCAAACCAGUAGGAUUGGCCAGAGGCCUGACCCCAGGCAGAGCUUAUGAAAGCACAUGUAGUGUGCAGUGAAGGACCCAUUUUGUUUCCAGUACUUCUUGGGCAGAUACUUUUGUAAAACAUGUUAUCAGGAAAAAAUGAAAAUUUAAAGAACAUGCAAAAUAUAAGCCCUAACUUUUUAUCAAAGU
Molecule: long non-coding RNA, 1499 nt
Filed under: Cervus hanglu yarkandensis (Yarkand deer)
Lineage: Eukaryota; Metazoa; Chordata; Mammalia; Artiodactyla; Cervidae
Description: lncRNA (ENSCHYG00000005804.1)
Source: RNAcentral